RNAcentral lists this ribosomal RNA (253 nucleotides) under uncultured bacterium. RNAcentral describes it as "partial 16S ribosomal RNA". It matches the Rfam family "Bacterial small subunit ribosomal RNA", at positions 524 to 776 of the family's 1533-position model. The record is from RNAcentral.
UACGGGGGGGGUAAGCGUUGUUCGGAAUUACUGGGCGUAAAGGGCUCGUAGGCGGCCAACUAAGUCAUACGUGAAAUCCCUCAGCUUAACUGGGGAACUGCGUGUGAUACUGGAUGGCUUGGAUUUGGGAGAGGGAUGCGGAAUUCCAGGUGUAGCGGUGAAAUGCGUAGAUAUCUGGAGGAACACCGGUGGCGAAGGCGGCCUGCUGGGCGGCGACUGACGCUGAGGCGCGACAGCGUGGGGAGCAAACAGG